RNA transcript from Vigna radiata var. radiata (mung bean), 947 nucleotides. It is a transcript of the gene named dnaJ homolog subfamily B member 1-like, with no coding region annotated. NCBI's taxonomy places the organism in Eukaryota, Viridiplantae, Streptophyta, Magnoliopsida, Fabales, Fabaceae. The record is from RefSeq and is a predicted model, not a curated record. The transcript has 2 exons.
UUUUUUGCAAUUGGGAAAAAUGGCGUUUCUGGAAAUGAAAAAUUUUUGUUAUCCUUCUUACUGAUUGCAUCAUGGCCAGCCAUUUGCACAACCCCAUGCCGCUCCCUCCCGUCAACGACCUCACUUGCAUUGUCACAGGCUCCACCAGUGGCAUUGGUCUCGAAAUCGCAAGGUUCACUUCCCUUUAAAUCCAUUUUCAUGCUUUUAAAUGACAGGGUUUUGUUUUUGGGUGUAAAAACCCGAGCUUUGGAAUUUUGAUGAACUUGGGUUAUCUGAGGUGGGCGGUUGUUGAGUGAUCAUGGGUGAAAGGUUGGUUUUGGGAAGUGGGUCUGUCUUGGUUUUGUGGUGGCGGUUUUAAAGGAGGGACCUUUGCGGCUGGUUUUGGAGAUGGGUUAUAAAUGAUGUUUACCGUUUUGGUUACUGAGAAGCAUUUGCUUCUUAACUUUUGAAAUGAAAAAAAAAAAAAAAAGAGCAGAAGCUUCUGGCAACGUAAGCUGGUGGAAGAGGUAUUCUUAGUGCAAUUGCAGCCUGGUUGGAAGAAGGGAACCAAGUUGAUGUAUUUGGAGAAGGGAUAUGAACUGGAAAAUCACAGACCAGCUGAUCUUGUUCUCUUUAUAUAUGAAGAACUUCACAGAGUUUAUACUAGAGAUGGAGACGACCUUGUAGUGCUUCAGAUCUGGGCUGCUACCGGAUCCUCCGGCACUUGAAGUAUUCGUGUUUAUGGUUUUCAGAAACGUCAGUUUUCCACAAUUGCAAAAAAACAAUUUUGACCUAAAAUCCUAAUUCAAUCCGAUAACUCACCAACACACAUGCUAAAAUGGUUAAUUUCAUUUCAAAUUAAAAAAAAAUUCUACGUGGCAAACAGUGUACAGCGAAGACAUGGCAGACCGUUAGCCACAUCACAAAAAAACUAACAGUGUCUGUUUUUAAAGAUUAAAAAUACGAGU